UUUCCAAAUCUGGAAACUUUCUCUCUCCCGAGCCAUUUUCUGGGCUCUCUUUUGUCCGGCCAUAUCUUCCUCCACAGACCUCCAAUCGACUUGAUUCCAAAAGAAAAUUUUCUCGUCUUGAAGUCAUUUACAACUUCCCAGAAGAUAUCGAGGUGAAAUACGAACUGUGAAGAGCGCCACAAGGCCGAGAAGCUGCACAGCUCGAGCUGAAAUCUCCCGAGCUGCUCCUCCCUUCGCCGGCUGAUUUCUUCCUCCUCCGGCCACCAUAGGACGCGAUUCAAAGUGGGUUCUCUUCGCCUCAAUCCCCUCUUGAGGUUUGUGGAAGAAUUGGAGCAUGAAACGAGCUGUGGAGGGCGGUGCAAGGCCGAGAUGUUGUACGGUGGAACUGCUAUCGCCUCAAAUCGCCGGGCUUGGUUCUCCCAGCUCCGGCCACUAUAGCUCGAGAUUCUUGAGGGAUUUUCGGCUUUUCUAGCCCAGAAGACGUAGAAGCUAUACCCAAGAAGGCUUGCAGCGAUUCGAUCUGUGGUGAUCGAAUUUUGGAGUUUGUGAAACUAGGGUUUUUCGAAUCCAUUGGCUUGCGAGGUAAAAUUUGAUCUUUUGGCUUAUAAUCUGACUUUGGUGUAGUUAUGAAAAGUGAAAUUGGAGUUGGGAUGAAGAACUUUCAUGUUGGAAGUUUUGUCAAAUUUUGACUUUGAUUUGGCGGCGGUGCCGCCACUGUUGUGGUGUUUUCCGGCCACUUCCGGCCACCCCAAGAACAGUUUCUGUCCAUUUUUGUGUUCUACGUGUCGAUAAGAUCGUUUGCAUAUAUAAUUCAUAAAUUUUGGAUAUCGUAUGAUUAAGUUAUGAAUUUUCAAAGUUUUAGGGUUUUCGGUUCGAUCGAUUUUCGAUCCGUGAGGAUUCGGCUGUCCGUUUGACUUGUCGUUUUGUUAUGUUGAUCGUAUAAGUGUUCCGGAGACCUCGGGUGGUCUCUAAUGAAGUUUUGCCUCGAUUGGCGUUACUUUUGGAUUGUGGGAUUGAUUUGGGAGUUUCGAAAUUUAAUUAUUUUUGGUGAUUCGUGUACUGAAUCGAGGUUGUACUUGCUUUAGGUGAUUGAUAGUACGUCCGGUAAUUUAUCUUGGCUGUUAGCAAGGUUUUAAGUUUCUCCGAAACUGCCGAAAUUUCCGUCGAAAUUUCCGUAAAUUUGAAGUAUUGAAACGAAAUUCAUAUGCUAUAUCAUUUCCGUCAGGAGUUUCUCGAAAUUUACAGAAAUUUUCCGUACAUUUCCGCGAAAUUCUAAAUUUCCGAAAUAUCUACACACAGAAAAUAUAUUUAAAAAUUCAAACCGAAAUUUUGUCCGAAAUUUCUUUGAAAUUUCUGUUAAAUUCGUAUUUCACAGUUUUUGACUUUUAGCUGACAAAAUAUGAAAUUUUGAUUUUUUUUUUUUCAAUCCUCCUUCAUAACACAGAAGCUCUCUUUCUAUCAUCCACCAUAUAAUUAUUAAUUAACAAGGUAUGUUGAAGGCUUUACUGUUCUUUUUACUAGUAUUUUCUUAGUGCGUGGGAGGAUGGAGGAAGUAUCUUGGUUUCUAUGGCUUUUUGACCACCAUGACCAUAAUGAUGUCUUUUAACUUUUUCGUAGGCUUGGAGUUCAGUUUUCUCACAACAAAGUUUGAAUGAGGCAAUAGUACCUCUUUGCUUUUAUCUGCUACCAAAGCACUCAUGCUCUAAGUCUCCAACCACAUCAUGAUUCUAUUUGCAAUCAUGGCUGGAUACACCCAAAAACCCAUCAAGUCAUGUUUGUUCACACUUCACACAGUACUUCACAAUAAUUCUAAAUCUACCUAUAUGGCUAUAUCUAUCACUCUCUCGUCUCUCCUAUAACUUCUGAUCACUAAAUUCACAAAGCAAGCCGUAAACAAAAUAGAGAAAGCAAAGACUGUGAAGAAUUGGAAGAGAUGCGAGCUGGAGCAGAGAAAAAGAGUUGAAGACUCAAUACAAUAAUAAGCUUGGUUGAUUUUAAGCUCUACAAGGUUUUUGGAAUAAAUAAGCAGAAGUGAGUUCAUAAAUGGAACGAGAAGUUUCAUGAAGAUGACAUGGCAAGGAGAGAAUCAAGGAAGAGUUUUUUUUUUAAAAAAGGAAAAUAUAUUUUCCUUGGGGAUUAAAUUUGCCGUGUAAUACUUAAGGAAAAACAAGGUGACAACGUGGGAAUUGAAGAUGAUUGAUUGAGGAUUUCAAGGAGAGAUUUUCUUGGGAGACUUUUAUGGAAAGAAAUAUUGUUGGAGGAAUAAUUUGGUGUGAUUGCCAACGUGAAAAUCAGAAAUAAUCAAGGAGAUGACGCCAAGAGAGAUUCAAGGGAGAAGAAGCAUAGCCGUGAGCAUCCAUCAUCCAUCUCCAACCUUGAAGCUUGCUUUCGAGAUUCAAGAGACCACCACAUCAAUCGUUCAUCACCAUCCCCAUCUCACGGUGUAAUCCGAUUCUUCUUUGUAACCUUUACUUUGAAUUUCGUUGGUUAUGAACUAGUUGACAUAUGUGUUUGAACAAAUAUUAAUUUCUGGAAUUUUUAUGAUUAAUUGAGAAUUUUCAGAUUCAUAUUAUUGUGAUUCGAGAGUUGCUUAUGUGGGGUUUCGAUAUAAUUGGUGCUAGGUUUAAGAACAUGAAAUCGACUUUUCGUUUUGUGUAA
This 2658-nucleotide long non-coding RNA is filed under the name Rosa chinensis. RNAcentral's name for it is "sRNA RchiOBHm_Chr3g0494291". The record is from RNAcentral. Lineage: Eukaryota; Viridiplantae; Streptophyta; Magnoliopsida; Rosales; Rosaceae.